Long non-coding RNA from Mercenaria mercenaria, 2122 nucleotides. RefSeq lists it as uncharacterized. The transcript is spliced from 2 exons. The record is from RefSeq and is a predicted model, not a curated record. Lineage: Eukaryota; Metazoa; Mollusca; Bivalvia; Venerida; Veneridae.
GUAAGGUAUAAAUAGUAAUGAGUAAGGUAUAAAUAGUAAAAGUAAAUGGGAUUAACCGAAAGUUUAGUUUAAUGGUUUAACCGUAGGCUUGACAGACUCUAUCGGCUAGUUUAGGGGAAAAAAUGAUAUUAAAAAAAUUAUGUGCAGUUUUUCUGAUUUGUGUGACAAUAUCACAGAUACUUUUGAGGACAGACGCUUUUGUUGAUAUAGGAGCGGAAGAUCCUAAUAAGGUUCACUACAUUCAAAUAAGAGACAAGGGAGGACAAUUACCUGAACCGGAACAAACACCCGAGCAAGCAAAAUUAAUUGCACCGUUUUUAGAUAUGCAACCAGAUAUCCGCUGUACGAGACGACGGAAUCGGCCACCCGCACCUCCUCCUCCAGAUUUUCUGGACACAUGAAGUAGCUAAGUCGCCGUUCGGAAAUUAUGAGAACGGUUAGUUACUUCUUAAGAGAAGAUCAUCGACUUACUAACAUACAUUUAACUGGAUAAGAAUGCUGUGGAAGGGAAUGUAAAUCUUGUAUCUAACAAAGCUGCAAACGGAAAGAGACAUGCUUGCUUAUUAAACAAACCUGAAAGUGGAAAGAGACACCAGACAUCGGGAAUGUACUCCUGCAACUCCUGCUGGUGAAAUAGAACAUCAGACAUCGGGAUAUACUCCUGCAAGUCAUUCUAGCGAAAUGGGACAUCAGGCAUAGGAUAUGUACUCCUGCAAAUCAUGCUAGCGGAAUGGAAUAUCAGACUUCGGGUGUGUACUUAUGCAAGUCCUGCUAGCGAAGUUGGACAUCAGGCAUCGGCAAGUCCUACAAGUGGAAAGGGUCAUCAGACAUCGGGUUUGACUCGUCCUACUAGCAGAAUUGGAUAUCGGUCAUCGGGGUAUGAUUCAUGAAAGUCUGCAAGCGGAAAGAGAUAUGUACUCCUGCAAGUCCUUGUGUAGCCAGGGAACGUAUGAUCUUCGGGCAUGUAAAUUAAUUUUACUGUGUAUCGCACAAACUUGCCAGUGGAAAUGGGCUUUAAUAUUCGGGCAUGUAAAUGAACAAACCUGCUAAUAGAAAAGGACAUAAGUCUGUGGGCAGGUAAACUAAUUGGACUGCGCAUCGAACAAACUUUCAAGUGUGAAGUGACAUCAAUACUCGGGCAUGUAAAUGAAUAAAACUGCAUGCGGAAAGGGAAGUCUACGAAUUUAGAUUUUUAUUUCAAUAUGAGCAUCAUUUUAAAAGGAAAUGUUCAUCAAAGUUCCAAAGGAUAUUCUUAUAGAUUUUGUUAAAAAAAUUAGAUAUCGUAUGAUGUGUUUUUUUUUUCAUUUACGAAACAGCUCCGCUACGUGAUAUAUUAGUCCGAGUGCGUACUAAUUAUGGCAUUGAUGACCGAAGGGCUUUAGUCAGUAAGUCACAUCAAAGACAUCUUAUAUGCUUCAGUAUUUUUUAUGACCCGGUCUAAUUAGGUGACAUCCUCGAAAUUACAAACAAGUCCAAUGUUAUAGAGAUGGUAUCUACCCAAGAAAGUCUAAGGGGAACAACUCUGAAAUGACUAAUAAACUAAAGCCAACAUAAAACAUUGGUCAAAAGUGAAAGAAAAAUCAACAACUGAUCAGGCAGACAAAAUAUGACCUAUAUUUGUUUAAAUCUCUUAGUAUUCAAUAUACAUCAUGCACACUUUUCUCAUGGCUUACACUGACGGUUAUAAGUUGUAGUGAGGCCCUGAUAAAAAGUUUAGUAGUGCAUGAAAAUAAAGUAAAAUAUUGCAUAAAUUCCAUUAAAAAGAUUAAAUUGGUGUCACGUUUGUGUAACAACAUAGCUAGACUGAGUAUAUUCAUCAUUUCAAUGAACAUUUUGAAAGACUUAGUGUUUCCUAUUCUUUAGUCAUUUGAAGCAUUUCUCUUCCUGUUUAAGAGUACUUUUCUGCAAAUUAUAUAUAAGUGUAAAAUAAAAAAGUCAUUGUCAUCAAAUGAAAUUACAAGAUUUUAAAGUAGUGGUUGUAAUUACAACAUUUUAAUGUAGCUGAUAGGUAAUGACUCUCUGCAAUGUUUUUGUAGCAAUUCAACAUUCUCUAGAUGGAACUAUCACGAUCAUUGCUUUCUAUGAAAACCAACAUAAAUGCUAUAAAAGCAUAUGGAGAUUA